RNAcentral lists this ribosomal RNA (259 nucleotides) under uncultured bacterium. RNAcentral's name for it is "partial 16S ribosomal RNA". It matches the Rfam family "Bacterial small subunit ribosomal RNA", at positions 15 to 254 of the family's 1533-position model. The record is from RNAcentral.
GAUCAUGGCUCAGGAUGAACGCUGGCGGCGUGCUUAACACAUGCAAGUCGAACGGAGUUUACUUAACAGAUUCCUUCGGGAUGACGUUUUUUAAACUUAGUGGCGGACGGGUGAGUAACGCGUGGGUAACCUGCCUUACACAGGGGGAUAGCAGUUGGAAACGACUGGUAAUACCGCAUACCUUACAUUAUUCGCAUGUUUGAUGUAAGAAAGAUUUUANCGGUGUAAGAUGGACCCGCGUCUGAUUAGCUAGUUGGUG